Molecule: transfer RNA, 71 nt
Filed under: Excalfactoria chinensis (blue-breasted quail)
Lineage: Eukaryota; Metazoa; Chordata; Aves; Galliformes; Phasianidae
Description: Coturnix chinensis tRNA-His
Rfam family: tRNA
About the family: Transfer RNA (tRNA) molecules are approximately 80 nucleotides in length. Their secondary structure includes four short double-helical elements and three loops (D, anti-codon, and T loops).
Source: RNAcentral
AUGCAAACAUAGUUUAACCCAAACAUUAGAUUGUGAUUCUAAAAAUAGGAGUUUAACCCUCCUUGUUCGCC